This 496-nucleotide ribosomal RNA is filed under the name uncultured bacterium. RNAcentral describes it as "partial 16S ribosomal RNA". It matches the Rfam family "Bacterial small subunit ribosomal RNA", at positions 28 to 506 of the family's 1533-position model. The record is from RNAcentral.
GAUGAACGCUGGCGGCGUGCCUAAUACAUGCAAGUCGAGCGAACAGACGAGGAGCUUGCUCCUCUGACGUUAGCGGCGGACGGGUGAGUAACACGUGGAUAACCUACCUAUAAGACUGGGAUAACUUCGGGAAACCGGAGCUAAUACCGGAUAAUAUAUUGAACCGCAUGGUUCAAUAGUGAAAGACGGUUUUGCUGUCACUUAUAGAUGGAUCCGCGCCGCAUUAGCUAGUUGGUAAGGUAACGGCUUACCAAGGCAACGAUGCGUAGCCGACCUGAGAGGGGGAUGGGCCCCCUUGGAACUGAGACCCGGUCCAAACCCCGAGGGGGGGCAGGGGUAGGGAACUUUCCGCAAUGGGCGAAAGCUUGACGGGGAAACGCCGGGUGAGGGAGGAAGGUUUUCGGAUCGUAAACCCCUGUUAUUAGGGAAAAAAAAAUGUGUAAGUAACUAUGCACGUCUUGACGGUACCUAAUCAGAAAGCCCCGGCUAACUACGG